AUCCAGCUGACGAGUCCCAAAUAGGACGAAACCCAUGUCCUGAAU
RNAcentral lists this non-coding RNA (45 nucleotides) under Schistosoma mattheei. The record is from RNAcentral. Lineage: Eukaryota; Metazoa; Platyhelminthes; Trematoda; Strigeidida; Schistosomatidae.